This 467-nucleotide ribosomal RNA is filed under the name uncultured Dechloromonas sp. RNAcentral's name for it is "bacterial SSU rRNA". It matches the Rfam family "Bacterial small subunit ribosomal RNA", at positions 338 to 797 of the family's 1533-position model. Lineage: Bacteria; Pseudomonadati; Pseudomonadota; Betaproteobacteria; Rhodocyclales; Azonexaceae. The record is from RNAcentral.
CCUACGGGUGGCUGCAGUGGGGAAUUUUGGACAAUGGGGGCAACCCUGAUCCAGCCAUGCCGCGUGAGUGAAGAAGGCCUUCGGGUUGUAAAGCUCUUUCGGCCGGGAAGAAAUCGCCAUCUCUAAUAUAGGUGGUGGAUGACGGUACCGGAAUAAGAAGCACCGGCUAACUACGUGCCAGCAGCCGCGGUAAUACGUAGGGUGCGAGCGUUAAUCGGAAUUACUGGGCGUAAAGCGUGCGCAGGCGGUUUUUUAAGAUAGGCGUGAAAUCCCCGGGCUUAACCUGGGAACUGCGCUUAUGACUGGAAGACUAGAGUACGGCAGAGGGGGGUGGAAUUCCACGUGUAGCAGUGAAAUGCGUAGAGAUGUGGAGGAACACCGAUGGCGAAGGCAGCCCCCUGGGCCGAUACUGACGCUCAUGCACGAAAGCGUGGGGAGCAAACAGGAUUAGAUACCCGAGUAGUCAU